Callithrix jacchus (white-tufted-ear marmoset) is the source of this 5602-nucleotide non-coding RNA. Lineage: Eukaryota; Metazoa; Chordata; Mammalia; Primates; Cebidae. The record is from RefSeq and is a predicted model, not a curated record.
UGGAGCAGCGUAGGAGACUAGGAAGGGCGGCGUUCGGCGGGAUCCUUUCCGGAAGCGGAAGCUCGGGGGGCGGGCCAAGAAAGUCCUGGAGCCCAAGGCGGUUAAUUCUUUUUACCGUGAGGCUUCGCUUCCCUCGAUCUGGGCUUUUCUGAGGCUGCGAGAGAUGGUCAGGUCCGGGUCUCGACCCGGCCAGGUGUUACCUUCAGGAAGGCACACUGGACCUGCUAAAUUAACAAAUGGAAAGAAAGAGACCCAUUUAAGAAAAAUAUCAUGUUUUAAUGCAGAUUCUGGCUCUUCCAUCCAUUCUGAUUCAGAAAGUCAGGCUGAAACUGUACAUGGGCUUGAUGGUUGUGCUUCUUUGCUGAGGAACAUUUUGAGAAAUGAAGAUUCAGGUUUAGAAACAGCAUAUUUAGAAAACAGAUCUAAUUCUAGACCUUUAGACAUCAGAAAAUAUGGAUCUAAAAAGAAAAGACAUAAAAAACGUACUGUUCCUUUUGUAGUCCGGAAAGAAACAUCAUCUUCAGAUAAGAAACAGAUACCUAAUGAAGCUCCUGCUAGAAGUGAAAGAGACACAUCAGACCUAGAACAAAAUUGGUCAUUGCGGGAUCAUUAUAGAAUGUAUUCACCUGUAAUAUACCAAGCCCUCUGUGAGCAUGUGCAGACUCAGAUGUCACUGAUGAAUGACUUGACUUCAAAGAACAUCCCUAAUGGAAUUCCUGCUGUACCAUGCCAUGCUAUGUCUCCUUCUGAAUCUCAGGCAACUCCUCAUUCUAGUUAUGGCUUAUGUACCUCCACUCCAGUCUGGUCACCUCAGCGGCCACCCUGCCCUCCAAAGGUUCAUUCUGAAGUUGAAACUGUUGGUGACAGUCAGUUUGCAUCACAAAGUAAAACAGUUUCUGCGACCUGUACUGAUGUUCUACGGAAUUCAUUUAACACCAGUCCUGGAGUUCCAUGUAGCCUGCCCAAAACUGACAUAUCAGCUAUUCCAACAUUGUGGCAACUGUGCCUUGUUAAUGGGAUUCCGCCACAACAAGGAGUACAUAAGGAAAUAGACCUACUCAAAUGUUUUCAAACGUAUAUUUCUCUUUUUCAAUCUCAUGGAAAAGAAGCACAUCUGGACGGUCAGACACACCGAAGCCCUACUCGAUCACAACCAGCUUUCUUGGCCACUAAUGAAGAAAACUGUGCCAGAGAGCAAAUUAGAGAGGUCACAAGUGAAAGAAAGGAUUUAAACCUACAUGUGCGAGAUACAAAAACAGUCAAGGAUGUACAGAAGGCAAAAAAUGUGAACGAGAUAGCUGAAAAAGUUAGAAUUAUAAAAUAUUUGUUAGGAGAGCUUAAGGCCCUGGUAGCAGAAAAAGAGGAUUCAGAAAUUCAGAGGUUGGUUACAGAAAUGGAGGCUUGUAUAUCUAUACUUCCAGCAGUAAGCGGAAACACAGAUAAUCAAAUUGAGAUAGCACUGGCCAUGCAACCAUUAAGAAGUGAGAAUGCUCAGUUACGAAGGCAGUUGAGAAUGUUGAACCAGCAACUCAGAGAACAAGAGAAUACUCAUAAGCCAUCUGGUGCUGUGGAUGGCAACCUUGAAUUGUUUUCUCUUCAGUCAUUGAAUAUGUCACUGCAGAAUCAAUUGGAGGAGUCACUAAAGACCCAGGAAUUACUGCAGAGUAAAAAUGAAGAGCUCUUUAAAGUGAUUGAAAAUCAGAGAGAUGAAAACAAAAAAUUUGCUAGCCUAUUUAAAGACAAGGAUCAAAUUAUACUUGAAAAUAAACAGCAAUAUGACAUUGAGAUAACAAGAAUAAAAAUUGAAUUGGAGGAAGCCCUAGUCAAUGUGAGAAACUCCCAGGUUAAGUUAGAAACUGCUGAAAAGGAAAACCAGAUAUUGGGGAUAACAUUACGUCAGCGUGAUGCUGAGGUGAAUCGGCUAAGAGAAUUAACCAGUGCCAGACCAUCGAGCUGAUGAUCCCCCUCACUACUGGUUCCAAGGAAAGACUUAAGUCUACUGUAUCUAUGGCACUGACCACCAGGUGUAUGCGGUGGACUAUCCUGAGCGGUAUUGCUGUGGCUGUACCAUUGUGUGACAUAGCAGAGCUGUCCCCAGAGCCUGCCAUUCAUGUUUGCCAAGGAGGACAACUGAUGCUCUCCUAGUGUGCUCACCACUGACUGCAUUGGACAAUCAUAUACAAACCUUGAUGAAGAGAUGGAAGCCCAGAGUUUCAAUCACUUGCCCAAAGUCACAGAGCCGGGAAGCGAAGAGCCAGGACACUGCCUGGUUUUAAAUUCUGGUUGGAAAUGCAAUGUGCCAGUAUAGAUGGUGUGCUUGUGUGUGUGUUAUCCUCAGUGGCAUCCAGGGGACAAAUGUGCAGAUCAGCUGACAGUGACAGCAGGCUCCCUUCUUCACCACCAGCAACUGUCAGAGGAGGCUAGAUAGAGUUUCACUCUUGUCCAGGCUGAAGUGCAAUGACACAAUCAGGGCUCACUGCAGCCUCAAACUCCUGGGCUCAAGCAAUCCUCCUGCCUCAGCCUCCUGAGUAGCUGGGACUAGAGAUGUUUCUCCCCUCUGGAGCCAAUUCCACCACUCCCUGGGAAGUGAUGUGAUGACCUUGGGCUUGUGUCCAUAGAGCACGGGAGAGUUUUGGCAGGUUGACGUUAUGUUGGUGUCAACCCACUUAAAGUGAAAACACGCCGGGCAUGGUGGCUCACGCCUGUAAUCCCAGCACUUUGGGAGGCCGAGGCGGGUGGAUCACGAGGUCAAGAGAUUGAGACCAUCCUGGUCAACAUGGUGGUGCGCGCCUGUAUUCCCAGCUACUCGGGAGGCUGAAGCAGGAAAAUUGCUUGAACCCAGGAGGCGGAGGUUGAGAAUCCCACUCAGCGAUUGCAGCAUGGCAGAAGCAGCAAUUAAAUGCAGUGUGGGGAAUCUAAGGAAAGGACACAGCCUGAGUGAUGGACAGAGGUGAGGAAAGCAGGGGUGCACACAGUGACUGCAAGCUGACCAUUUGGCUUCUGAAAGGAUAACAGGAAGGAAGGAGGGUUGGGGCAGGAAAAGUAAGAAAUUUGAUUGCAAGGUGAAAUCGUUUCAAUUUUUUUCUGUGUGUGCAGCAGGGAACCCCUGAUUGUUCUUGAAGAGGGGAGUGCAAGAUGAGGACUGUGUUUCUGAGCAAUUCGUCUGAAAGCAGUGGGUAGAGAGGGUAAGUUCCUGUCAGGAAGACUUGUCAGUCUGAGUAGAAAAUGUUCAAGGUAAGACAUGACUUUGGGGAUAGAGGGAAAAGGAGGAUGGAGAGAAGAGACUAGACUGAUUUGAGUGCCAGAGAUGAUUCAGGUGCUCCAAAUGCAAGGGUGAGUGUCAUUAAUAGACAUGAGAAAGGCAGAAAUGGCUCUGGGUUGUGCCCCAUGGGGACUAUUAUGGGAGAUCACGCCUACCCAUGAUGGUGUGACCCACUGGACAAAGUCAACCAGGCACUGUGCUGGGGUUUCAACAGAGAUGAGAUCAUGUAUCUCAUGAUCUCCCUAUGCAGCAAUCACCAGCCCUUGCUUAAAGCUGUUUGAAGGCUACCCCUUGCUCCUAGGACAGAGACCAGUCUUUUGCAUUGCCCCCAAACUGGAGCAGGCUAGCUCUGCCCACCUCUCAUGCCCCAGGCCCACCCUCCUCACCAUGCUCUGUGCUUCUGCCACACCAACCUUCUUUCAGUUCCAUCCAUGGGCCAAGUUCACACUGUAUCUCCAAUACCAGCAAAUAGGUGUUGAAUAAACUGGUGGGGCUUCUACCACAGGGCCUUUGCACAUGCCAUUCAUAUAUCCAUCUUUAACCAUUGUCCUUUCCCACUUUGCCAAUUUCGAAGCUACCCAUCCUCUUUUUUUUUGAAACAGAGUCUCACGUCUGUCACCCAGGCUGGAGUGCAGUGGCAUGAUCACGGCUCACUGCAGCCUUGACUUCCUGGGCUCAGGUUAUCUUCUAGAGUAACUGGGACCAUAGGUAUACCAUCAUGCCAGCUAAUUUUUGUAUUUUUUUGUAGGGAUGGAGUUUUGCCAUGUUGCCCAGGCUGGUCUUGAACUCCUGGGCUCAAGUGAUCCACCUGCCUUGGCCUCUCAAAGUUCUGGAAAUACAGGCCUGAGCCACUAGGUCUGGCAAGACUACUCAUCCUUUAUAGCCCAGUUCAAGUGUCACUUUCCCAGGGGCACCUCUCUCGAUACCUAAGUCCAGUUUACUUGUAUUAUAGUAACACAAAUCUUCCUUGUAUAGUAUGUACAGUAGGAGUAAUUUUGCAUUGACUUGUGAGAGUAUUUGCUUGAGGCCUAUCUCCCCCACAGAUUGUAACAUCUAUGGGUGUAGGAGUCACUGUUGUUUUUGUGCAUGCUGUAUCUCCUAUAUUCAACAUGGGAAUUGGAACUGUGCGGUGCUCACUGAAUAUCUGUGGAAUGAUAAAUGAAUGCAAUGGGUGAAUAUUUUGCUGGUGCUUCAGGAAAGCGCCAGAGAAGCAGAUUAUGCUUGAGAAGCACCUUAUAGGAUGAACAGAAUUUCAACAGCCAGAGUUGGCCUUCAGGUAGCCAGGCCACGACUAGCAAAAGCACAGGGAAGGGCUUGAGCAAAGGGAGCUUCUGCAUGUUUAGGAGGAAUAGGAGAAUAGAAAUCUAGGGAAAUAAAGGGCUCUAGGGCCAGAAAGACAACAAAGCCAACUUUUAGAAAGAUACAAACAUCCAAGUGAGGACUUGGUUGUUAACUUGGCAGGCAGUGAAGAGCCAUGGAGACUGAGUGAAGGAAAUGACACUCUUGAAACUUCUCUUUGAGAAGAUGAACGUGACUAGGAAACUGAGGGUGACUAGAGAAAGGAGCUGGGAACAGAAAACCACUGCCUUGGGAGGAUAUAGCAAUGGCUUUGGUUAAACUUAUAAAGCACAUGAAUGGGGGUUUUGUAGGUAAGAGAUGCUCAGAGCAAAGUUUGAAUGGUGAGGUUAAAGAAAUCUGGCAGCUGAUGAGAAAGUUCUAGAAAGAAAACCACUGAUGACCAGACUGUAAGCUCCUAGGACUUGUGUCUUUUUCAUCCUUAUACUCCCAGUAGAAAAAGACAUGUUUUUGUUAGAAAUUGUGGGAAAGAAAUUAAUAUAAGGGCUGAAAAUGUUCAGAGAAACCACAAAAGGGAGAUAAAAUUUGGCCUAAAGACCUAUUCUACUUGGCUCAUUCAGUGUUUAGUUGGCAACAUUAAAAAUUGAGAUUUCUCAUAAAAGCGCCAUUGUUUAAUUUUUUAGAUUAAUUUUUAUUGAAAACAUUUUAAUUUGAUUGUUUCAGUAUAUGAAAAAGUGCUAUAUUUUUAAAGACCUGCCCACAUUAGUCACUAUGUCCCAUGUGGCACCUGUUGGUGGAGGUUAGGUGGCCCCUGUUUGGCGGCUCCCCAGUACUGGUCUUAUUCCCAGAGGGGUUCAUUCACUAUCUUCCUGGGCUCUGAGGGCAGCAGAGUCAGGUCCCUGGCUAAAGAGAAACUCAUCAGUUCCCAGCAGGCCACUUUUUCAUGCACCAUAAAACAUGACACCUUUGUUACAUUAGUGAUAUGGAACAGGCAGAUGGGGUGUGGGAUUCUGUCCCAAAGCCUCCACUCCCAGUGGAAGCAUG